This is an RNA transcript of Helianthus annuus (common sunflower), 1426 nucleotides long. It is a transcript of the gene named FGGY carbohydrate kinase domain-containing protein, with no coding region annotated. The record is from RefSeq and is a predicted model, not a curated record. Lineage: Eukaryota; Viridiplantae; Streptophyta; Magnoliopsida; Asterales; Asteraceae. The transcript has 9 exons.
GGAUUGGAUGUGAAUGCUCUUAGCAAUCCUAAUCGGCGAUUCCUCUAUCAAACGGCGAUUCCUCUCCUCCGAAACCCUAAUCGGCGAUUCCUCUCCUCCUGACCCUUUCAAUCGAUUCCUCUCUCUCUCUCUCUGAAGAUCAUCACCGACGAAGUCAUCGAACAUGUCAAUAUUGUGAUUACAUUUGAUUAUUAGAUCCACAUAUCAUAACCCUCUCUUUUCACGAACCCUAGCAAAAUCACAGUUCGUCGUCUCCAUGUUUUCACCCAAAUCUCCCAAUGGUGGUUGUCGUACGAUCCAUCAAUCUUGCACGCUGGAAACCCUAACAAAUUCUCUCCCACAAUUGAUGAUUUCUGGUCCUAGCCAGUCAUUUAGAUGGGAUUUGCUUAAUGGCGAAACUCAGAAUCUCAGAUGUAAUGACGGAACUCAGAAUCUCAGAUGUAAUGACGGAACUUAGUGCCCUGGUUAUUUUAUCUUCAGUUCCAAACCUGUUUUGGCAUCACCGGUAACUGGCUACAGAAGCAGGUUAUGCGGGAAUACAGGCCUGGUGAGGUAGGACUUGGGAGGGGGGUUAUGGGCAUAAAAUGGAAGGUGGAGGCACUAAAAAAGCCAGAAGCCUGAUGUUUAUGCAGCCUCUAAGAGGAGAUCCAUUUAGGGCCUUUUUGAUGAGGCUGGGAAACUUCUGGGUUCUGCUAGCAGCCCGAUACAAAUUUGGAAAGAAGGUGACUGUGUUGAGCAAUCUUCAACUGAUACCUGGCUUGCGAUCUGCACUGCUGUUAAAAGAGCUUUAUCCCUUUCUGAUGUUGCUGGUGAAGAAGUAAUUGGCAUCGGUUUUGCAGCUACAUGCUCUCUUGUUGCUGUCGAUUCUGAAGGUCAACCUGUUUCAGUAUCUUGGAGUGGUGACACAAGAAGAAAUGUAAUAGUAUGGAUGGAUCAUAGAGCCGUAAAGCAAGCUGAAAGAAUAAAUUCCUUCAGUUCACCCGUUCUACAAUACUGCGGUGGUUCAAUUUCUCCUGAAAUGCAGCCACCUAAGCUUUUGUGGAUGAAAGGGAAUCUGCAAGAAUCUUGGUCAAUGGCUUGGAGGUGGAUGGACAUUAGCAGUGGGUGAAAUUGUAUGUAACAGGAGGUGAAAUUGUCAAUUGCAGUGGGUGUGGACAAACAUAGAUGUGAUUAACUCAGUGAUCCUAAGUUGGCACAAAUUGCUCUUAGGAAUGACUUGAAUAAGCUAUAAGAUCUCUUAACAGUAUGUCAACGAUCCAAGUAUAGCAAGCAACAGGAUGAAGAGAUGGUAAUGAUUUAUGAGCAUUAAUCAUGUUUAUUAAACCCAUAAGUUUCUCAAUUUGCUAUCUAUCUUGUCGAAUUUUGUAUCUAAUAUAUAAAGUUUUUUCGCUUUUGUAUCUAAUAUAUAUUCAGUUCUUUCUCAUCA